This 580-nucleotide small RNA is filed under the name Pongo abelii (Sumatran orangutan). Its description in RNAcentral is "retained intron". Lineage: Eukaryota; Metazoa; Chordata; Mammalia; Primates; Hominidae. The record is from RNAcentral.
GAAAAGUAAAUUAUUAGGGUUGUCCAAUCAGCCUUUACAACCAGAGCUUAACAAAAGUGAUACUAGCAUAAUGCUAAAGUGGCAGGUGCUGUCUAGGACAAGUUAAAGGAAAUGUUGACAUUCAUCUUGAUUUCCUAAACUUUAAAUAAAACAUAAUUUAUAUAUUUACUUUGUAAAUCUGUGAUGGUUGACUUUCAAGGAUUUUGGAAGUAUUGACUUUUCAUGCCUUGGUUUAUUACUAUUUUUUUUGUUAAUGAUUUUAAAUGAGUUGCCUUAAAUAGCUCUUUUUUCUUUUCUUUUCCCUUAGGUCACAGGGAUUAUGGACCCAGAACAGAUGCUGAUUCAGAAUCUGAUAAUUCAGAUAACAACACAAUCUUUGUGCAAGGACUUGGGGAGGGUGUGUCUACAGAUCAAGUUGGGGAGUUCUUUAAACAAAUAGGAAUUAUCAAGACAAAUAAGAAGACCGGAAAACCAAUGAUAAAUCUUUAUACAGACAAGGACACAGGAAAGCCAAAGGGGGAGGCAACAGUGUCAUUUGAUGACCCUCCUUCAGCUAAGGCAGCCAUUGACUGGUUUGAUG